Molecule: ribosomal RNA, 300 nt
Filed under: Triticum aestivum (bread wheat)
Lineage: Eukaryota; Viridiplantae; Streptophyta; Magnoliopsida; Poales; Poaceae
Description: partial small subunit ribosomal RNA
Source: RNAcentral
GCUUUCUCUCAGUCUGACCUCGAUGAUGCAAACAACUUCACCAACAUCUCCUCCCACAACAAGCUUGUGAGAUAUAGAGAUGAGGGGAAGGCGAGGAAAGGGGAGGACUUUAACCCGAGUCAGGGUCCCAUUGAUCCAGAGCUGGUGAUGAUAUCUGGUGGCGGGAGGUCCCAUGGCUCCAUAGCCAUUGGAGAUGGACUUAUCCAUUGUCCUAGCACUCUCCCAGAGAUCAAGGAGCGCCAGUCAAGCUUCGCUCCUGAGAUAAGGCCUCGUGAACGGCCAGUGCAACUCGCCAUCAAG